This is a long non-coding RNA of Ictalurus punctatus (channel catfish), 1682 nucleotides long. The record is from Ensembl. Lineage: Eukaryota; Metazoa; Chordata; Actinopteri; Siluriformes; Ictaluridae.
CGGAAUUCAAACCCCCAACCCAAGAGGUGCGAGGCAAACAUGCUAAGCACUAAGCCACUGUGCCCCCAAGGCUCUUCCCUCUUUUGCACAUCAACAACUGAACAUGUUUUUCUGUUUAUAUGGAGCACCGUCUACACAAGUUCCAGUGUAAGCUGUUACUACAGAAAUUAUAACAUGUUACUGAUUUGCCUUGCAGUCAAAAAAAAUUAACACAUCCUGACCAAUCAGAUUUGACGAUUCAACAACGCUGUUUAAUAAUAUAAUUUUUCAUAUCUUUCUUGGUCUUAUGUCCCCAUCUUUAAAACAAACAAACAAACAAAAAAAGAAAGCACAGUUCUACAUGCUCACACGUCAUCUCGCUUAAAUUUGUUCUCUCUUUCUAAUUCCAAUGUCCCUUUCUCUCUCGCUCUCCUGACAUUCAAAACCAACUCUUUACCCCCAAGCUCUCUCUGAUGUGAUAGCAAAAUGGCCUUUCCCCUGCUCAGGAAGCAGCUAAUGAGUUGUAUCUUAUGAGCUUACGAGGCAUAUCAUACAGGAUAAUACUGCUGGGAAAUUGAGAGCAAGAGACUGAAACUUGAGACUCGAUCUUUAGGAUUAAAACGAUAUUCAAAUAGGUCAUUGCAAAUGUUUUACAAAACAAAAUGCCGUAAGGGUCACAAAGGCACCAAUUAUUCCUUCUUCAUUUUACUGAAUUAAAAAUUUUUUUUUUUUUUUUUUUUUUACAUAUGACAGCUGGUAAUCUGACAGUCCAAUAUAUGCCACCCACAAGUACUCAUAGAAAACGUACAAGAGUUGGGAGAUGAUAUCUAUGAGAUGUGAAAUGAGAUCUGACUCAGAGAUCUUCCUGUGAAAACAAGAAUGAAGACCAGAAUGAAGUCCAGACCGCGUGUAUAUGCAAGUGAUUGCGUCAGUUUAGCAGUGGACGUAAAUGUGUUUAUCGUGUUCAUCAUUGGUCUUCUGUCCUCUUUCCUGAAUCAUUCUUGCCAUUUAGAGCUGGCGCCAUGCUAAAGAGAUGAGAGAUGAGAGAACAGACGAGUGCCAUAGUACCAACCGAUGAUCCUAAGCACACUCGAAUUCAAGGGUUCUACAGUUGGGAAAACAUUAAGUGCUGUGACCCUCCAGAUAACCCAAACACACUCUGUCUCACUCGAUAGGAGUCAUAACUCAUUCUGUUAUCGUGGCACUGGCUAUGAGAUUCACAUUAGGAAUGAAAUAUCUUUGGUCAUCAAUACGAAACUAUUAAAAAAGUAGAAAACAGGUAGGUUUCUGAAUUACUAUAUUUACAGUAGACCCACUAUUCCAGUAAUUAUAAUAGGUAGCUGUCUUACGGUGUUUACUGAAGACCUGUUACUCAAUUACUGGUACUCCAGUAGUUACAGUAUGUUGCUGUGUUAGUGCAUUUACAGUAGAGCUGCUCCUUCAGUAGUUGAUGUGUCACUGUGCGUAUGAUAGACUUGCUACUCCAGUAGUUACAGGAGGUCGCUGUAUUACCGUAUUUAUGGUAGAGCUGCUACUCCAGUAAGUACGGGAGGUCGCUGUAUUACUAUAAUUUACGGUAGACCUGCUACUCCAGUAGUUACAGGAGGUCGCUGUAUUACCAAACUUACGGUAGAUCUGCUGCUCCAGUAGUUCACUGUAUUAGCAUAUUUAAGAUAGACCCGCUGCUCCAGUAGUUACAGUAG